This 358-nucleotide ribosomal RNA is filed under the name Enterobacter asburiae. RNAcentral's name for it is "bacterial SSU rRNA". It matches the Rfam family "Bacterial small subunit ribosomal RNA", at positions 92 to 453 of the family's 1533-position model. Lineage: Bacteria; Pseudomonadati; Pseudomonadota; Gammaproteobacteria; Enterobacterales; Enterobacteriaceae. The record is from RNAcentral.
CGAGCGGCGGACGGGUGAGUAAUGUCUGGGAAACUGCCUGAUGGAGGGGGAUAACUACUGGAAACGGUAGCUAAUACCGCAUAACGUCGCAAGACCAAAGAGGGGGACCUUCGGGCCUCUUGCCAUCAGAUGUGCCCAGAUGGGAUUAGCUAGUAGGUGGGGUAACGGCUCACCUAGGCGACGAUCCCUAGCUGGUCUGAGAGGAUGACCAGCCACACUGGAACUGAGACACGGUCCAGACUCCUACGGGAGGCAGCAGUGGGGAAUAUUGCACAAUGGGCGCAAGCCUGAUGCAGCCAUGCCGCGUGUAUGAAGAAGGCCUUCGGGUUGUAAAGUACUUUCAGCGGGGAGGAAGGCG